GGGGCAGUAGCUCAGUUGGGAGAGCGCGUCGUUCGCAACGACGAGGCCGGCGGUUCGAUCCCGCUCUGCUCCACCA
RNAcentral lists this transfer RNA (76 nucleotides) under Deltaproteobacteria bacterium RIFCSPHIGHO2_02_FULL_40_28. RNAcentral describes it as "tRNA-Ala". It matches the Rfam family "tRNA". From Rfam's summary of the family: Transfer RNA (tRNA) molecules are approximately 80 nucleotides in length. Lineage: Bacteria; Deltaproteobacteria. The record is from RNAcentral. RNAcentral also lists the same sequence under 3 other names.